RNAcentral lists this transfer RNA (77 nucleotides) under Alkalimonas collagenimarina. RNAcentral's name for it is "tRNA-Val". It matches the Rfam family "tRNA". From Rfam's summary of the family: Transfer RNA (tRNA) molecules are approximately 80 nucleotides in length. Their secondary structure includes four short double-helical elements and three loops (D, anti-codon, and T loops). The record is from RNAcentral. Lineage: Bacteria; Pseudomonadati; Pseudomonadota; Gammaproteobacteria. RNAcentral also lists the same sequence under 1 other name.
GCGUCCUUAGCUCAGUUGGUUAGAGCACCACCUUGACAUGGUGGGGGUCAGUGAUUCGAAUUCACUAGGACGCACCA